AGAUAAUAGAUACCCGGGUAGUCCACGCCCUAAACGAUGUCGACUGGUUGUUGGGGGUUUGACACUCUCAGUAAACGAAAGCUAAACGCGUGAAGUCGACCGCCUGGGGAGUACGGCCGCAAGGUUAAAACUCAAAGGAAUUGACGGGGACCCGCACAAGCGGUGGAUUAUGUGGAUUAAUUCGAUGCAACGCGAAAAACCUUACCUACCCUUGACAUGUCCGGGAGCCUGCUGAGAGGCGGGUGUGCUCGAAAGAGAACCGGAACACAGGUGCUGCAUGGCUGUCGUCAGCUCGUGUCGUGAGAUGUUGGGUUAAGUCCCGCAACGAGCGCAACCCUUGUCAUUAGUUGCUACAUUUGGUUGGGCACUCUAAUGAGACUGCCGGUGACAAACCGGAGGAAGGUGGGGAUGACGUCAAGUCCUCAUGGCCCUUAUGGGUAGGGCUUCACACGUAAUACAAUGGCGCGUACAGAGGGUAGCCAAGGGGUCGACCUGGAGCCAAUCCCGCAAAGCGCGUCGUAGUCCGGAUUGCAGUCUGCAAC
This 542-nucleotide ribosomal RNA is filed under the name uncultured bacterium. RNAcentral's name for it is "bacterial SSU rRNA". It matches the Rfam family "Bacterial small subunit ribosomal RNA", at positions 775 to 1311 of the family's 1533-position model. The record is from RNAcentral.